RNAcentral lists this unclassified non-coding RNA (404 nucleotides) under uncultured Rhizophagus. Its description in RNAcentral is "sequence contains 28S rRNA gene". The record is from RNAcentral. Lineage: Eukaryota; Fungi; Glomeromycota; Glomeromycetes; Glomerales; Glomeraceae.
AGUUAAACAGUACGUGAAAUUGUUGAAAGGGAAAUGAUUAAAGUCAGUCGUACCUACGAGUAAUCAACCUACUCGAGUGCGAUUUUGUGGGUAUAUUAGAGCUUAAAAACCUUCAUGCUUACAAAUUGGUACUCUUUGGGCGUACUUUCUCGUAUGGUAAGUUAACAUCAAUUUCGAUCGUUAUAAAAUGACUGGAGGAAUGUAGCUUCAAUCUCGGUUGAAGUGUUAUAGCCUUUGGUAGAUGUAAUGAUUGGAUUGAGAAUUGCAACGGAUACCCUCUGGGCUAUUCGUCUGAUCUCUGGAAGUUACCAUGUGUCGAAAGCGUGCUUACGAUAUUAAGGUUGACGGCCAAUAGGUUAGAACGUGAUUAAAUUCAUUAAGGAUGUUGACGUAAUGGCUUUAAA